GACGAACGCUGGCGGCAGGCCUAACACAUGCAAGUCGAGCGGACCUAUCGGGGUCAGCGGCGGACGGGUGAGGAACGCGUGGGAAUAUGCCCUUCUCUACGGAAUAGUUCUGGGAAACUGGGGGUAAUACCGAAUACGCCCUUUGGGGGAAAGAUUUAUCGGGGAAGGAUUAGCCCGCGUUGGAUUAGGUAGUUGGUGGGGUAAUGGCCUACUAAGCCGACGAUCCAUAGCUGGUUAGAGAGGAUGAUCAGCCACACUGAGACUGAGACACGGCCCAGACUCCUACGGGAUGCAGCAGUGGGGAAUCUUAGACAAUGGCGGCAACGAUGAUCUAGCCAUGCCGCGUGAGUGAUGAAGGCAUUAGGGUUGUAAAGCUCUUUCAGCUGGGAAGAUAAUGACGGUACCAGCAGAAGAAGCCCCGGCUAACUCCGUG
RNAcentral lists this ribosomal RNA (433 nucleotides) under uncultured bacterium. RNAcentral describes it as "partial 16S ribosomal RNA". It matches the Rfam family "Bacterial small subunit ribosomal RNA", at positions 28 to 507 of the family's 1533-position model. The record is from RNAcentral.